AUGACAAAGCCUAAAGCGGAGGGUGGUAUGGGUUUUCGGGAUCUCAGAUUAUUUAACCAGGCUCUUUUAGCGAAGCAGGCAUGGAGGCUGGUGGUAAAUCCGGAAUCUCUCUGUGCCAGAGUGAUCAAGGCAAAAUAUUAUCCACAUGGGCAUAUUUUAGACACAGCUUUCCCGCAGUCGGCUUCUCUCACAUGGCAAGGUAUUCUGCAUGGG
This 213-nucleotide ribosomal RNA is filed under the name Triticum aestivum (bread wheat). RNAcentral's name for it is "partial small subunit ribosomal RNA". The record is from RNAcentral. Lineage: Eukaryota; Viridiplantae; Streptophyta; Magnoliopsida; Poales; Poaceae.